CGUGUAACAAACGGCUCGUCUGAAAUGCUUGAGUGUACCCUGCUUUGCAGCGUAUUCGGUGUGAUAAAUCUUCACCGGAGUUUUGACUUUUAGGUCAGCGCUUGUAUUGUUUAGGCUCUAUGCUUCCAACCGUCUCUAACAAGGACAAUAUACUCUGACAAUUUGACCUCAAAUCGGGUGGGACUACCCGCUGAACUUAA
This 200-nucleotide unclassified non-coding RNA is filed under the name soil metagenome. RNAcentral describes it as "partial contains internal transcribed spacer 2 and large subunit ribosomal RNA". The record is from RNAcentral.